AAGCUAACUCCGCCUAUGUUGGGGUAUCCUUGACGUAGCCGGUCCCAAGCCCGGACAAAGGAGGAGGGUUGU
This 72-nucleotide non-coding RNA is filed under the name unclassified sequences. The record is from Rfam.